UACAGAGGGGGCAAGCGUUGUUCGGAAUUACUGGGCGUAAAGAGCGCGCAGGCGGUCGUUCAAGUCGAGUGUGAAAGCCCCCGGCUCAACUGGGGAGGGUCAUUCGAUACUGAUCGACUCGAAGGCAGGAGAGGGAAGUGGAAUUCCCGGUGUAGUGGUGAAAUGCGCAGAUAUCAGGAGGAACACCAAUGGCGAAGGCAGCUCGCUGGGACGUGACUGACGCUGAGGCGCGACAGCGUGGGGAGCAAACAGG
Molecule: ribosomal RNA, 253 nt
Filed under: uncultured bacterium
Lineage: Bacteria
Description: partial 16S ribosomal RNA
Rfam family: Bacterial small subunit ribosomal RNA
Source: RNAcentral